GCCCGGGUGGCUCAGUUGGUUGAGCGUCUGACUUCAGUUUAGGUCAUGAUCUCACGGUUUGUGAGUUCGAGUCCUGCAUCAGGCU
This is a non-coding RNA of Felis catus (domestic cat), 85 nucleotides long. The record is from Rfam. NCBI's taxonomy places the organism in Eukaryota, Metazoa, Chordata, Mammalia, Carnivora, Felidae.